GAGCAAGCGUUGUUCGGAUUUACUGGGCGUAAAGGGCGCGUAGGCGGCGCGGUAAGUCACUUGUGAAAUCUCUGAGCUUAACUCAGAACGGCCAAGUGAUACUGCAGUGCUAGAGUGCAGAAAGGGCAGUCGGAAUUCUUGGUGUAGCGGUGAAAUGCGUAGAUAUCAAGAGGAACACCUGAGGCGAAGGCGGGUUGCUAGGCUGACACUGACGCUGAGGCGCGAAAGCCAGGGGAGCAAACGGG
Molecule: ribosomal RNA, 245 nt
Filed under: uncultured bacterium
Lineage: Bacteria
Description: partial 16S ribosomal RNA
Rfam family: Bacterial small subunit ribosomal RNA
Source: RNAcentral